UGUCUGGUUCUACCCCAACCGGCGACCGUUGCUGUACGUCCAGAAAUUUUGAGGUUCUUCGCUGGUAAGCAGACAGAGACUGUAGAUUUCCUUCAGAAAUUUAUACAACUCGACUCUGUCGAAUUUCCCGACAAAUACCUGCCAUGGGUGACUACCGAAACUGGAACUGUGCCCACCCACGAUUCUAUUGCUCCUCGUGUAAAGUUCACCGCAGCCUGCAAAGCAACGCAAAACGAAAUCGGUGUCGCAUGUAAGGGGAAGAACGCAGCUUUAGUUUAAAAGGUAUGUCGUCGUCGUCGACGCAGCAGCUCCAUAUUAAUCCUCCGGAGCAGAGAUCGACUGGACGACCACCUCCGAGGACGCAACUAAUACUCAGGCCACAAUCGAACGUCGUUCCUUUAGCCUCGACGAGCAGGGUGCCUUGCUGUUGACUCGUCAGUUUACGUCUUCUUCCUUGCCUGUGACUCGACG
Molecule: long non-coding RNA, 471 nt
Organism: Frieseomelitta varia
Lineage: Eukaryota; Metazoa; Arthropoda; Insecta; Hymenoptera; Apidae
Exons: 4
Source: RefSeq, a predicted model, not a curated record